AUGCUCACUUUGGCAGCAUGUAUACUAACAUCAGGUGGAUAGAGAGACUAUUAGCAUGGCCCCUGUGCAUGGAUGACAGGUAAAUUUGUGAAGUGUUCCAUAUUUUU
Small nuclear RNA from Apodemus sylvaticus (European woodmouse), 107 nucleotides. Lineage: Eukaryota; Metazoa; Chordata; Mammalia; Rodentia; Muridae. The record is from RefSeq and is a predicted model, not a curated record.